UGGGGAAUAUUGGACAAUGGGGGAAACCCUGAUCCAGCCAUGCCGCGUGAGUGAUGAAGGCCUUCGGGUUGUAAAGCUCUUUUGUCAGGGAAGAUGAUGACGGUACCUGAAGAAUAAGCCCCGGCUAACUUCGUGCCAGCAGCCGCGGUAAUACGAAGGGGGCUAGCGUUGUUCGGAAUUACUGGGCGUAAAGGGCGCGUAGGCGGUUUAGUAAGUCAGGAGUGAAAUCCCUGGGCUCAACCCAGGAAUUGCUUUUGAGACUAUUAGACUUGAGUACAGGAGAGGUGAGUGGAAUUCCCAGUGUAGAGGUAAAAUUCGUAGAUAUUGGGAGGAACACCAGUGGCGAAGGCGGCUCACUGGCCUGUAACUGACGCUGAGGCGCGAAAGCGUGGGGAGCAAACAGGAUUAGAUACCCCUGUAGUCC
This 424-nucleotide ribosomal RNA is filed under the name uncultured bacterium. Its description in RNAcentral is "bacterial SSU rRNA". It matches the Rfam family "Bacterial small subunit ribosomal RNA", at positions 355 to 796 of the family's 1533-position model. The record is from RNAcentral.